Molecule: ribosomal RNA, 585 nt
Filed under: uncultured bacterium
Lineage: Bacteria
Description: bacterial SSU rRNA
Rfam family: Bacterial small subunit ribosomal RNA
Source: RNAcentral
CCUACGGGAGGCAGCAGUGGGGAAUAUUGGACAAUGGGCGCAAGCCUGAUCCAGCCAUACCGCGUGGGUGAAGAAGGCCUUCGGGUUGUAAAGCCCUUUUGUUGGGAAAGAAAUCCAGCCGGCUAAUACCUGGUUGGGAUGACGGUACCCAAAGAAUAAGCACCGGCUAACUUCGUGCCAGCAGCCGCGGUAAUACGAAGGGUGCAAGCGUUACUCGGAAUUACUGGGCGUAAAGCGUGCGUAGGUGGUUAUUUAAGUCCGUUGUGAAAGCCCUGGGCUCAACCUGGGAACUGCAGUGGAUACUGGAUGACUAGAAUGUGGUAGAGGGUAGCGGAAUUCCUGGUGUAGCAGUGAAAUGCGUAGAGAUCAGGAGGAACAUCCAUGGCGAAGGCAGCUACCUGGACCAACAUUGACACUGAGGCACGAAAGCGUGGGGAGCAAACAGGAUUAGAUACCCUGGUAGUCCACGCCCUAAACGAUGCGAACUGGAUGUUGGGUGCAAUUUGGCACGCAGUAUCGAAGCUAACGCGUUAAGUUCGCCGCCUGGGGAGUACGGUGCAAGCUUGAAACUUCGAAAGGAAUUGA